This 617-nucleotide ribosomal RNA is filed under the name uncultured bacterium. RNAcentral describes it as "bacterial SSU rRNA". It matches the Rfam family "Bacterial small subunit ribosomal RNA", at positions 61 to 669 of the family's 1533-position model. The record is from RNAcentral.
GUCGAGCGGUAACAUUUCUAGCUUGCUAGAAGAUGACGAGCGGCGGACGGGUGAGUAAUGCUUGGGAAUAUGCCUUAUGGUGGGGGACAACAGUUGGAAACGACUGCUAAUACCGCAUAAUGUCUACGGACCAAAGGGGGGGAUCUUCGGACCUCUCGCCAUUUGAUUAGCCCAAGUGAGAUUAGCUAGUUGGUGAGGUAAUGGCUCACCAAGGCGACGAUCUCUAGCUGGUUUGAGAGGAUGAUCAGCCACACUGGGACUGAGACACGGCCCAGACUCCUACGGGAGGCAGCAGUGGGGAAUAUUGCACAAUGGGCGCAAGCCUGAUGCAGCCAUGCCGCGUGUGUGAAGAAGGCCUUCGGGUUGUAAAGCACUUUCAGUAAGGAGGAAAGGGAUGUAGUUAAUAACUGCAUUCUGUGACGUUACUUACAGAAGAAGCACCGGCUAACUUCGUGCCAGCAGCCGCGGUAAUACGAGGGGUGCAAGCGUUAAUCGGAAUUACUGGGCGUAAAGCGUUCGUAGGCGGUUGAUUAAGCAAGAUGUGAAAGCCCAGGGCUCAACCUUGGAACUGCAUUUUGAACUGGUCAACUAGAGUACUGUAGAGGGUGGUGGAAUUU